ACUACAAGCAAAACAAGAAAUACCCCACCAAUGAAUAACUGAAAUUGCAUGCAGUCUAUGAACUAGUUUUAUUUCAGACACAGCAGCUAAACAGAAAACUCAUUCAGCUCAUCAGGAACAGUCAUCUCCACAAUGAUUCAUAUAUCGACUGCCCUAACUACCUGUAUGAUGGAGGAAUAAAAGUAGAUGAAGUAAGAAGAAACUGAAAACUGAAAUGAAGUGUGAUGUGACCCAGCCUGACCCACAAAUUGCUAACAAGAGGGUAGAAUUAGAAGCAAAAAUACCACAAAACUAGGUUUUAUGUGCAAGAACCUUGCAAACUAUGCAGGAGUCAAAUACAGGCCACCAAUAUUCUUACACCUGAAUUAAUUUCACUAAAUCCUAAAUUUCUGCAUUUGGUAAAUUAUCCUGUUUUUGACAUCUGACAAAUAGCAUUUCCUUUUUUUAAACUAUCAGUGAAAAUUUUAACACUUAUAAUGAAACUAUUAUUAUUCCUUACUGUAUAUUAUUAUUCAUUACUGGGAUAAUUUAAAUAUGCUGCUGCCUUUUAGGGAUGUAACAGUGUUCCCAGAACGACAUUAGAGAUUAAAAAAAUAAUUCACAAGAAUAAAAACAAGUUUUCUUCCA
Molecule: non-coding RNA, 627 nt
Organism: Coturnix japonica (Japanese quail)
Lineage: Eukaryota; Metazoa; Chordata; Aves; Galliformes; Phasianidae
Source: RefSeq, a predicted model, not a curated record